UUUUUACGCCAGAAAAUGUGGACUAGUAGUCACUCUCUUAAUUGCACAGAGCUUACAGGUGGCAGCACUCCAUGGACUCGGAUCCUAAGGCUACCACAAUGUGCUUCCCAGAAUCAUGACCAUUUCCCUCAGACACUUUCUUUCCCCCACAAAACUAUCUACCUCCUUCUGGAUUUGAAUUUCUAUGAAAAACCAGAUACUUGCCAAUAAAUGUCCCAGCCAAAGCCUGGCCCAUCUGCAUUUCUUUUGCCCACCUCAGAUCCCAAAUUAAACAUCCACAAUAAGGAAUGCCUGGAUGGCUCAGUGAUUGAGUGUCUGCCUUUGGCUCAGGUCGUGAUCCCAGGGUUGUGGAAUCGAGUCCCACAUUAGGCUCCCUGCGGGAAACCUGCUCCUCCUUCUGCCUAUGUCUCUGCCUCUUUCUGUGUGUCUCUCAUGAAUAAAUAAAUAAAAUCUUUAAAUAUCCACAACGAGAACAGGAUGGAAAAGCCAGAAUGCUGCAAAAAUCUGACUAAAAGGCUUGUGCCCCUCCCAACACCCUCCAGUAUGGAUUUUGUUCCCUAGAAAUCUGUACCCACUCUUACUAAGCCAUGGUCUGACCUGCAGGAUCUAGAGCAGCUCCAGGAAGCAAGAGAAAAUGCAACACACAGCUCUCUCCGGGCUUUCCGGAACAGGAAAGGGCAGCUGCUCUCAGUUAAAGGCUGGAGGGAGUGAGGGCUCAAACAGGGAUCAUCAUCUGGAUUCUGACCUUUCUCCCACUAAACUGAAGAUUCUCCCUUGGUGAUGAUUCAUUGUGUCUUCAUUCACAUUGUGCACACUUUUCACUAUUACCUUGCGCACACUUCUACUUCCCAAUUAAAAAUGAUCCCAGUAGCUGGGAGGGCGAGAAAGGGCAUGGAGUCUGGGAGCUUCCAAGACUUCCGAGCCUCUCUGUUUCUCCUGCCUUUCUGCUUUCUCACUUUCUGCCAUUCCUUGAAGAGCAACAAAGGAAGCAACUCCAGCAAAGCCACAUAAGUCUGAGAUUUAGCUCUCAAAUUUGUCAGUUGCAACCUUGUAGCUCCUUUUCCAUCUGUGCUUUUUACCUUAGCUUUUUUUUAAUUAUAAUUCUUCCUAUUGAUUUUAAGCAUAGCUCAGAGUAACACUAACCAGCGCUACAUUAGCUUAAAACCAAACCAGCUGACCUUAUCUGGUAAUGGGGCACAGCUGAAGAAGGCAUGAAGCUCUCAAGAAAGCAUCAGCCACAGAUGAAAACAAGGCAUUGUGGAACUCGUGUAUGAGUUCUGUAUGUCCCUUCCAAACCUUUGAGAAUCACAGCCUGGGAAUGGAAGCAACUGCGAGGUUGUGAAGAAUCCAUCCUUGGACAGCAGUCCCAACCUUGACUACACCAUGGUCCCAUUGAUCACUUUAGAACAAAACAGUUACUUAAAUGUGCAGCCCUGGACACUCCUUGUUACUGAGUUAAAAGCAAAGCUCCAUCAGUUGACCUAGGGAGCACCCAUUGCUCACCCCAUUUCAUUCCUUCCACCUGCCAGGGUAAGAAAAAUCAAGGAAGACAUGCCAGUCCACACCUGCCUCCUCCCUCCUGAGAGAAUGAGCCGCUGCUUCCUCUGUUUUAUCAUGACCCUCUUCAUUCUGGGUCCCCCGUCCUUAUGUACUUGUCUCCCCAUCUGGCUGUCCUUCUUCAACUUAGGAACAGUACUGUCUCAUCUUGACAGCCCCAAGAAUAGAGACGAUAAACAAAAGUGUUUGAUGGGGUGAAGAAUGAAUGAAUGGACAAAUUUUUUUUUAAUUUAGUCUCCAAAAAAAUUACCUUCCAGGAGGGAAGUCAAGACAUACAGUAAAAUACGUGAGAUAAAACAGUAAGUGAUAAAGAUCAGAAUAAGCAGCACAGGAGGAAGGGACCUCUGACAGGGAUGAGAAAGUUCUAUUGGGAGGAAAUAAUAUCUAUUUUCAAGGCCUGCAAAGAUCCAGAUGCCCAGAGACCUUCAACACCAAACAAGAGAUUCUAUUUUUUGGUCUAAAUGUUAGAGACAGGCAUACAAGGAAUAUGAAUCUGGUGGGCAAGGUGGACUGGAACUCGUGUCAGGGAGAGCCCACCAUUUGGAGAAACUGGUUUACACAGUAGCAGAGGAAACCCUAACCAGUUACCUGUUUUAACCAAACACUAUUUGUAUUUGAAAGGAUAGAAGAGUUAAUACCAUUGCACAAACAAGAAUUAAUAUUCACAGAGAACAAAUGGCAUCAGAGACAGAAUUCAUAGGUCAGAUAGGAACUCCCAAGUAUAAACCCUAAUUCAAAUUCUCUGAGAGCUUCUAGAACAUUCUGCACCUAUAAGUUAAGAAGAGGUUGUUUAUCCAACAAGAAAUAGAUUCAUCCCUGAUGGCUACGUAGAGUCUUGAUUAAAGAUGUGGGCAAUGUUAAACAAUCAAACAAACAAAUGGACGAUGAAUGGUGGGGCACCAGAGAUUAGCAAUAAGGAGGAGCCAUUAACGCCUACUGCUCAAGGCACCUGAAGAGGAAUCUUGUUAUUCAGGGCCGGUUACUACUACUCUGGAAGCCAAGUGGUCCAGAGGGAGCUGCAAGGACAGAAGGACACAGGCGAGGCCACAAGACAAAAGAGAAGAAAUAUUCUGACUGCAUUUUCUGCUCUCACUACAGACAUGUGCUCAUGCCUCCCACUAGGCAAACCAGCAAGGAAGUGGAGGGAUGAGGGACAGGGAAUAGCAGAGAAGGAGCCUUAGUGAAACAAAGCUUAAAUAAUCCAAGAAGCUAUGAAGGAGGAAAAAUCCAAGUGUGUGUGGCGGGGGGAGGGGGGAGAAGGCAAGAGGGUCAUUGGAAAUGAAGAAUAUGAUUGAUAAAAACAAAAUUUAAAAAAAAAUGUGGAAGGCAAGGUACAGAACAUUUCAUAGGGCAAAAAGGAGAUGGAAAAUAUGAGAGGGACGCCUGGGUGGCUCAGCGGUUGAACGCUUGCCUUGGGCCCAGGGUGUGAUCUUGGAAUCCCAGAACUGAGUCCCACAUUGGGCUCCCUGCAUGGAGCCUACUUCUCCCUCUGCCUGUGUCUCUGCCUCUCUCUCUCUGUGUCUCUCAUGAAUAAAUAAAUAAAAUCUUUAAAAAGAAAAUAUGAGAGGGGAGUCAGGAAGCAUGGAAGACGGGUCCCGGAGAGAGCUCUUGAUUAUUAAAUACCAAGGGUAUGGGGCACGUGUCUGGAGACACUUAGUGGGAAACACAAGCAAAUGGGAAGAAAUGAAUCCUGAUCAUUCUUUAGGAUUCCACAACAUGUUAUGAUAGAAUGAUUCCUUUGCCCCUGAGUCCGUGGAGCAUAAAGGAAUCUGGGGCAAUCUGUUCCCUUACCACAUCAGAAAAGUAGCUUUUUUGUUUCAAAGGUCUGUGGUGAGACACAAUUCCAUGACGUUAAUCAAUUUAUUUCAAUUGAGACUGAAACACAAAUGAAAGGUCCCCACUUCGGAAAAGGCCAUGAAAAUGUGAAGACGUUAUUAUUUCUAUGCUGAGAGGAGAAGCGAGAUUCUCUGCCUGGCACAUUUCAGAAAGGUUCAAUCAGCCAGGGCAGGGGAAUAGAUUUAAAAUAGAAAAGUAAUGGGAAAAGGGCUUUCCACGUAACAGAGUCGGUGACUGAUGAAAAACCAUCCCUUCGGAGCCAGCUCUAUUA
RNAcentral lists this long non-coding RNA (3664 nucleotides) under Canis lupus familiaris (dog). RNAcentral's name for it is "lncRNA (ENSCAFG00000054616.1, ENSCAFG00805031117.1)". The record is from RNAcentral. Lineage: Eukaryota; Metazoa; Chordata; Mammalia; Carnivora; Canidae.